GAGGGUAUAGCUCAGAGGUAGAGCACAUGCUUUGCAUGCAUGAGGUCCUGGGUUCAAUCCCCAGUCCCUCCA
Molecule: transfer RNA, 72 nt
Filed under: Camelus bactrianus (Bactrian camel)
Lineage: Eukaryota; Metazoa; Chordata; Mammalia; Artiodactyla; Camelidae
Also listed under: 2 other names
Rfam family: tRNA
About the family: Transfer RNA (tRNA) molecules are approximately 80 nucleotides in length.
Source: Rfam by way of RNAcentral